RNAcentral lists this small RNA (28 nucleotides) under Bombyx mori (domestic silkworm). RNAcentral describes it as "ovarian small RNA-18050". The record is from RNAcentral. Lineage: Eukaryota; Metazoa; Arthropoda; Insecta; Lepidoptera; Bombycidae.
UAAAAGCAUACAUCUGGCUCUUUCUAAC